RNA transcript from Varanus komodoensis (Komodo dragon), 3622 nucleotides. It is a transcript of the gene named pitrilysin metallopeptidase 1, with no coding region annotated. The transcript has 28 exons. The record is from RefSeq and is a predicted model, not a curated record. Lineage: Eukaryota; Metazoa; Chordata; Lepidosauria; Squamata; Varanidae.
CCAUUCGCUCCUGCCGCGCCGCCGGGAAGGUCGCCCUGCGCCAUGUGGGGCCGGUACAGCGCCGCGGCCCGGCGGCUGGCGCUCCUGAGCCUCGGCCGUAUUCAUAAUUCCAGAUCAUUCAGUCCAAGAUUGUGGAGGUGGAAGGGCAGUUCUGCCAAUGAAAGAGUGCUGCAGUACAAGACUGGAGAGCAUAUUCAUGGGUUCACAGUGAGUCAGGUGACGGCGGUACCUGAGUUAUUCUUAACUGCUGUUACCCUCAGCCAUGAUCAGACCGGAGCCAAAUAUUUGCAUGUGGCACGAGAAGAUUCCAAUAAUUUGUUCAGCGUUCAGUUCCGUACUACCCCCAUGGACAGUACAGGUGUGCCCCAUAUCCUUGAACACACUGUGCUUUGUGGGUCGCAGAAGUAUCCCGUCAGAGAUCCCUUCUUCAAAAUGCUCAACAGAUCACUCUCCACAUUCAUGAAUGCCUUUACAGCCAGUGACUACACCCUCUAUCCAUUUUCCACACAAAAUCCCAAGGACUUUCAGAAUCUUCUGUCUGUGUACCUGGAUGCUGUGUUUUUUCCUUGUUUGCAACCGCUAGAUUUCUGGCAGGAAGGUUGGAGGUUAGAACAUGAGAAUCCAACAGACCCUCAGACACCAUUAGUCUUCAAGGGAGUUGUUUUUAAUGAAAUGAAGGGAGCCUUUACAGACAAUGAGAGAGUAUUCUCUCAGCACCUUCAGAACAAGAUUCUUCCCGAUCAUACUUAUGCUGUUGUGUCCGGUGGCGACCCGUUGAAGAUCCCUGAUCUUUCCUGGGAGCAGCUGAAACAGUUCCAUGCUACGCAUUACCAUCCCAGCAAUGCAAGGUUCUUUACUUAUGGGAACCUUCCACUGGAGCAACACUUGAAGCAGAUCGAUGAGGAAGCCCUGAACAAAUUCCAGAGAAUUGAGCCAAAUACUGCUGUCCCACCACAACAGCUCUGGGACAAGCCCAGGGAGCAUCAUGUGACGUGUGGUAUGGAUUCCUUUGCUGCAGACCCCAAGAAGCAGACGAUGGUGAGCGUAAGCUACCUCCUGGCAGAUAUUACAGAUACUUUUGAAAACUUCACCUUGAACCUCUUGUCAUCUUUGCUGGUUGGUGGUCCGAAUUCUCCCUUCUAUAAAGCUUUAAUUGAGGCUGGUCUGGGUACAGAUUUUUCACCUGAUGUUGGGUUUAACAGCUCCUCACGCGAAGCCUAUUUCAGUGUCGGCCUUCAAGGGAUUUCUGAGGAAAAUAUUGACACUGUCAGGCAAAUUAUCGCUCGAACUAUUGAUGAAGUCAUUGAGAAUGGAUUUGAGGAAGAAAGAAUUGAAGCACUGCUCCACAAAAUCGAGAUCCAGAUGAAGCACCAGUCAACCAGCUUUGGACUUGCCUUAACUUCCUAUAUUGCCUCUUGUUGGAAUCAUGAAGGAGACCCUGUAGACCUGUUAAAGAUCGCUGAAAAGGUGUCUCGGUUCAGGCAGUGCCUCCAGGAAGAUCCCCAAUUCCUGCAGAAAAAAGUAAAGCAGUACUUUAAGGAUAACCCCCAUAAACUGAUGCUGUCGAUGAGUCCGGAUGCAGCUUUCUAUGAGAAGCAAGCAUCAAUGGAAGCAGCAAAACUGAAAGAGAAGGUUGAGGCUCUUUCUGAAGAAGAGAAGAAACAGACCUAUGAGAAAGGUUUGGAGCUGCUGGACCUGCAAAGCAAGCCUCAGGACCUGUCCUGCCUCCCAGCUCUGAAAGUUUCGGACAUUGAACCCACAAUUACCUUUACUGAGAUGGAGACGGCACUUCUAGCUGAGGAUGUCCCGGUCCAGCUCUGUGCUCAACCCACCAAUGGCAUGGUGUAUUUCCGAGCUGUUUGCAGCCUCAACACCCUCCCGGAGGAGCUUAGGCCGUACGUUCCCCUAUUCUGCAGCGUCAUCACCAAGAUGGGGUGCGGUGCUCUGAGUUACAGAGAACAAGCUCAAGAAAUAGACCUGAAAACUGGGGGCCUUUCCGUCAUCCCUCACAUCACUGCGGAUGACUCCCAUCUGGAUGUCUACGAACAAGGUGUGCUCUUCAGCUCUUUGUGUCUGGAUAGAAAUCUACCUGACAUGAUGCACCUCUGGAGUGAAAUAUUCAACAACCCCCAUUUUGAAGAGGAGGAACAUUUCAAAGUCUUGGUGAAGAUGAUGGCUCAAGAGCUCUCAAAUGGAAUUCCUGAUUCCGGACACCUGUACGCCUCCAUUAGAGCAAGCAGAACCCUGACCCUGGAGGGGGAGCUGCGAGAAAUGUUCAAUGGCAUGGAACAGGUGAAGUUGAUGAAGCGAAUUGCUGAAGCGUCCGACAUCAGGCCCAUGCUCCGCAAACUGCCGCGCGUCAAGAAGUACCUCUUAAACAGCGACAACAUGCGGUGUUCCGUGAAUGCCACACCUCAGCAGAUGCCAAAUGCUGCAAAAGCCAUAGAAAAAUUUGUUCUUGGGGUCGCCAAGAGCAAAAAGGAAAGAAAGCCUGUUCGUCCACAUGUCAUUGAGAAGCCUUCAGAUCCCAAACCUGGCAAUGAGGCAUUUUCUUCCUCCCUGAUCAGAAGAAAGCUCAUAACGGAUCCUGCAUUCCAGCCUUGUCAGAUGAAGACGCACUUUUUGCUUCCUUUCCCCGUCAAUUACAUUGGCGCGUGUGUCCGAACUGUUCCCUUCACUGCUCCAGAGCAUGCAAGCCUCCGCAUUCUUGCCCGGUUAAUGACAGCCAAAUUCCUGCAUACAGAAAUCCGAGAGAAGGGAGGGGCGUAUGGAGGAGGUGCUCAGCUUGCCCACAACGGCAUAUUCAGUUUCUACUCCUAUAGGGAUCCAAAUUCGGUGAGUACUCUGGCUGCUUUUGAAAGAGCUGCCGAGUGGGCCAGGGCAGGCAAGUUCACUCAGCAAGACAUUGACGAAGCCAAGCUGGCUGUGUUUUCCGCCGUGGAUGCCCCCACUGCACCAUCUGACAAAGAUGUUGUCUCCACUGUUUUGCUGAAGUCCCAGGGAUGGGCAACUUUCUGUAUGGAAUCUCAGAAGAGAUGAAACAGAGGCACCGGGAGCGUCUUUUUAUGGUCUCCAAGGAUAACCUGAUGGAUGCAGCGAACAAGUACCUCAUUGCUGGGAAGAGCACGAGAGGACUGGCUAUUCUUGGGCCGGAUAACCCAGAAACUGCCAAGGACCCUUCAUGGGUUAUACGAUAAGGCUUACACGAAAUCAGACGCACCAGCUCAUGUGACACAUACCAAAAUGACUUUGAAACCUCCACCUGUCUCUGAAAGUGCUAGUGGGACAAGAAGCCGUUUGCAGCGUGGAAGCUGUGGUAGUAUUUUUAUUGUAGAGAGACUUCACACUCUCUCUCUCUCAUUAAUGGAGCCCCGAGUCUGCCAGGCCACCCCCCCCCCACCACCACCACGCACCCACACACUAAAGCCCCAGAUAUUGGCCGAUCCGUUGGGACUAGGUCCUACUGGAGCCGUAGUUUGGGCUGACUAAUGGGCCACAAUAUUAGCCAGACUAUGCAUAAAUACCCCAAGUAUCCAAAUAAUAUUUUGUAGGAGGGCAGAUUUGAGCUUUCACGUGGUUUACUUUAAAUCAUGCCCACUGAAUAAAAAACCCUAUUUUUUAA